GAUGAACGCUGGCGGCGUGCCUAAUACAUGCAAGUCGAGCGAACAGAUGAGGAGCUUGCUCCUCUGACGUUAGCGGCGGACGGGUGAGUAACAUGUGGAUAACCUACCUCUAAGACUGGGAUAACUUCGGGAAACCGGAGCUAAUACCGGAUAAUAUCUUGAACCGCAUGGUUCAAUAGUGAAAGACGGUUUUGCUGUCAAUUAUAGAUGGAUCCGUGCCGCAUUAGCUAGUUGGUAAGGUAACGGCUUACCAAGGCAACGAUGCGUAGCCGACCUGAGAGGGUGAUCGGCCACACUGGAACUGAGACACGGUCCAGACUCCUACGGGAGGCAGCAGUAGGGAAUCUUCCGCAAAGGGCGAAAGCCUGACGGAGCAACGCCGCGUGAGUGAUGAAGGUCUUCGGAUCGUAAAGCUCUGUUAUUAGGGAAGAACAAGUUUGUAAGUAACUAUGCACGUCUUGACGGUACCUAAUCAGAAAGCCACGGCUAACUACGUG
Molecule: ribosomal RNA, 497 nt
Filed under: uncultured bacterium
Lineage: Bacteria
Description: partial 16S ribosomal RNA
Rfam family: Bacterial small subunit ribosomal RNA
Source: RNAcentral